AGGGUAAUAGUUAACCAUAACAUUUAACUUGCACUUAAAAAGUAUUGAUACAUCAAUUUACCUU
Molecule: transfer RNA, 64 nt
Filed under: Oryctes nasicornis
Lineage: Eukaryota; Metazoa; Arthropoda; Insecta; Coleoptera; Scarabaeidae
Description: tRNA-Ala
Source: RNAcentral